AGCAGCCGCGGUAAUUCCAGCUCCAAUAGCGUAUAUUAAAGUUGUUGCAGUUAAAAAGCUCGUAGUUGAAUUUCGGGGUUAGUAGGCUGGUCAUGCCUCUGGUAUGUACUGGUCUCACUGAUUCCUCCUUCCUGAUGAACCUUAAUGCCAUUAAUUUGGUGUUUUGGGGAAUUUGGACUGUUACUUUGAAAAAAUUAGAGUGUUUAAAGCAAGCUAACGCUUGAAUACAUUAGCAUGGGAUAAUGAAAUAGGACGUUCGAUCCUAUUUUGUUGGUUUCUAGGAUUGACGUAAUGAUUAAUAGGGAUAGUUGGGGGCAUUAGUAUUCAAUUGUCAGAGGUGAAAUUCUUGGAUUUAUUGAAGACUAACUACUGCGAAAGCAUUUGCCAAGGAUGUUUUCAUUAAUCAAGAACGAAAGUUAGGGGAUCGAAGACGAUCAGAUACCGUCGUAGUCUUAACCAUAAACUAUGCCGACUAGGGAUCGGAUGAUGUUAAUUUUUUAAUGACUC
This 507-nucleotide ribosomal RNA is filed under the name uncultured Glomeromycotina. Its description in RNAcentral is "SSU rRNA". It matches the Rfam family "Eukaryotic small subunit ribosomal RNA", at positions 569 to 1077 of the family's 1831-position model. Lineage: Eukaryota; Fungi; Glomeromycota. The record is from RNAcentral.